Pelobates cultripes (western spadefoot toad) is the source of this 271-nucleotide non-coding RNA. Lineage: Eukaryota; Metazoa; Chordata; Amphibia; Anura; Pelobatidae. The record is from the annotation of a GenBank genome assembly.
GUGAGCUGUGCUUCCCGUUCGGUUACUUUGGCUUCAAACUUGAAUUCACUUUGCUUGCCUGACAAGUCUAACUUUUUAGUAAAUAACCCUGUUAAUAUUAUUGUUCCCAUGGGUUACGUGACCUUAACACUGCAAUACGUUUAAUUCCUUACAGCCUUUCAUAGUAACGGCACCAAAAAUGCUGUAUUUUAAAAAAAAAAAAAAAAAAUUAAAUUGAAUAAAACAUUUACCUCAAUUUAUCUGCAUUCCCCUCCUACUGACGGCUCAUUUU